GGCGACGAUCAGUAGCUGGUCUGAGAGGAUGAUCAGCCACAUUGGGACUGAGACACGGCCCAAACUCCUACGGGAGGCAGCAGUGGGGAAUCUUGCGCAAUGGGCGAAAGCCUGACGCAGCCAUGCCGCGUGAAUGAUGAAGGUCUUAGGAUUGUAAAAUUCUUUCACCGGGGACGAUAAUGACGGUACCCGGAGAAGAAGCCCCGGCUAACUUCGUGCCAGCAGCCGCGGUAAUACGAAGGGGGCUAGCGUUGCUCGGAAUUACUGGGCGUAAAGGGAGCGUAGGCGGACAUUUAAGUCAGGGGUGAAAUCCCGGGGCUCAACCUCGGAAUUGCCUUUGAUACUGGGUGUCUUGAGUAUGAGAGAGGUGUGUGGAACUCCGAGUGUAGAGGUGA
This 395-nucleotide ribosomal RNA is filed under the name Brevundimonas sp. 49A(2010). RNAcentral's name for it is "bacterial SSU rRNA". It matches the Rfam family "Bacterial small subunit ribosomal RNA", at positions 272 to 684 of the family's 1533-position model. The record is from RNAcentral. Lineage: Bacteria; Pseudomonadati; Pseudomonadota; Alphaproteobacteria; Caulobacterales; Caulobacteraceae.